CUCAUUUAUUUAAUUUAUUACUUAAAAUUACAAAAAAUGUAAAAAUACAUUUACUUCAAAGAAAGACGACAAGACCCUAUUGAACUUAACUUAUGUUAAACUGGGGCAGUUAAUUAAUUAUUAUUUUAAUUUAAAUUUUCAAACAAAAAUCCAACAAAAUUGAUAAUCCAGUUACCAUAGGGAUAACAGCGCAAUUAAAUUUUAGAGAUCUUAUCUAAAAUAUAGAUUACGACCUCGAUGUUGAAUUAAUUACCUAAUUAAGGCAAAUCUUAAAUCAGGAAGUCUGUUCGACUUUUAAAAAAUUACAUGAUUUGAGUUCAGACCGGUGUAAGCCAGGUCGGUUUCUAUCUUCUAGAAAAAUUUCUUACAGUACGAAAGGACCCAAGAAAAUAAUAUAAUUUACUAAUUGGCAGAUUAAUGCAUUAGAAUUAGAAUCUAAUAAAACU
RNAcentral lists this ribosomal RNA (446 nucleotides) under cf. Saitis sp. West Australia. RNAcentral describes it as "partial 16S ribosomal RNA". The stretch from base 60 to 353 matches the Rfam family "Bacterial large subunit ribosomal RNA", at positions 2074 to 2646 of the family's 2925-position model. Lineage: Eukaryota; Metazoa; Arthropoda; Arachnida; Araneae; Salticidae. The record is from RNAcentral.